This is a non-coding RNA of Danio rerio (zebrafish), 1299 nucleotides long. The record is from RefSeq and is a predicted model, not a curated record. Lineage: Eukaryota; Metazoa; Chordata; Actinopteri; Cypriniformes; Danionidae.
CUCAGAUGCAUGUCACUGAUAUAUACCAGACUGAGCAGAUAAACAUGCAUCUUUAUUACGUGUCAAACAUGAAAUAGUAUCUCAUAUAUGUGCAACUGAUGUUUAUGUGUGUUUGUGUUUCUGUAUCCACAGAAGGAGGAACAUGUGAGGUGAUCGCAGCACACCGAUGUUGCAACAAGAACCGUAUUGAGGAACGUUCCCAGACGGUCAAGUGUUCAUGUUUACCAGGAAAAGUGGCUGGCACGACACGAAACAAACCCUCCUGUGUAGACGCCUCCAUUGUGAUUGGGAAGUGGUGGUGUGAGAUGGAGCCAUGUCUGGAGGGAGAAGAGUGCAAGACGCUACCAGACAACUCCGGCUGGAUGUGUUCCUCUGGGAAUAAGAUCAAGACCACGAGGAACACCCAGCCAUAUUCCACUUUUUAGCUCUGAGGGCCACUCAAUCUUCAGAAGCUCAGCGGCGUCCUUCUCCUCAUCAAGAUUCAUCCCCGGACCUAACAAAGAGCUCCUUCACAGGCGGUGAAUGUGGAUUCUCUCUGUCAAAAAAAUGGACGAAACCAUUCAUUCAAAGGGGUGUUUGACUGGAUUACCUGUGAAUGAACAAUAAAGGAGGAUAAAUACACAAUAUUUGCUCAUUCGGUGCCAAGGAAUAUAUGAAAAAUCGAAAUAAAGCAGGCUAAUCUGUGUUUUGAUCAAUGAGCCCAACGCUGCGGACUCAACAGUCCUGUACACUUCCGUCGAUUUUCUGUGUUUCUCCUGACCACCUUCCUCUGGUUCUAAACUUAUACAGCUUAGAGGAGCCGUUUACUGGAUUUCAAAUUAUACCUGAAGACUUUACCUCCCUAGGUAAACUGGACAAUCCUGAUAUAAGCUGUGAACGACUGUAUGAAGGAUCAUGAUGGAUAAGCGCUGGUCUGUGAAAAUGAGGAGGAAAUCAAUAGGAGAUUUUUUCCAUCCCUCCAUCAAUCUGUCAUUGCGUCGUCCACGCUGGCUUUGGUAAUAGACUGGGAGUUUGUGAAGCCCUACUGUUUCCCCUCCACUUCUGAGUUUAUCACUCAGUGCUACUGUCUACAUGCUGUUCGUUUUGGAAAAUCCCCCCCGCAGGUCAAAGCUCACCCUCUCACCGUCUACACCUACUUGAGCCAGAUAUCUUUUUAUUUGUCGGCAUGCUCAAUGUAUUUUGUGGGAGCUUUGUAUUGAAAGUAACUGUAUAUAUUUCUGUAUAUAUACAUAUAGAUACAUAUUAAAAGAUAUCAUAUGAAGAUCUAACAUGCCCAUAAACCUGUUCAGUGGGACUAUA